This 27-nucleotide small RNA is filed under the name Bombyx mori (domestic silkworm). RNAcentral's name for it is "ovarian small RNA-30290". The record is from RNAcentral. Lineage: Eukaryota; Metazoa; Arthropoda; Insecta; Lepidoptera; Bombycidae.
UCUUUUGGAGUGCUGAGACGACUAAGC